GACGAACGCUGGCGGCGUGCUUAACACAUGCAAGUCGAACGGAAAGGCCCUGCUUUUGUGGGGUGCUCGAGUGGCGAACGGGUGAGUAACACGUGAGUAACCUGCCCUUGACUUUGGGAUAACUUUAGGAAACUGGGGCUAAUACCGGAUAGGAGCUCCUGCUGCAUGGUGGGGGUUGGAAAGUUUCGGCGGUUGGGGAUGGACUCGCGGCUUAUCAGCUUGUUGGUGGGGUAGUGGCUUACCAAGGCUUUGACGGGUAGCCGGCCUGAGAGGGUGACCGGCCACAUUGGGACUGAGAUACGGCCCAGACUCCUACGGGAGGCAGCAGUGGGGAAUAUUGCACAAUGGGCGGAAGCCUGAUGCAGCAACGCCGCGUGCGGGAUGACGGCCUUCGGGUUGUAAACCGCUUUCGCCUGUGACGAAGCGUGAGUGACGGUAAUGGGUAAAGAAGCACCGGCUAACUACGUG
RNAcentral lists this ribosomal RNA (468 nucleotides) under uncultured bacterium. RNAcentral's name for it is "partial 16S ribosomal RNA". It matches the Rfam family "Bacterial small subunit ribosomal RNA", at positions 28 to 507 of the family's 1533-position model. The record is from RNAcentral.